Molecule: long non-coding RNA, 678 nt
Organism: Leopardus geoffroyi (Geoffroy's cat)
Lineage: Eukaryota; Metazoa; Chordata; Mammalia; Carnivora; Felidae
Exons: 2
Source: RefSeq, a predicted model, not a curated record
UCUGUUGAACUGAAUACAUUUGUAUGCUAUUUCUUCACUUCUAUUUGUGAAAGAUAUAACCAUGUUAUCAAAAUUUAGGUAACAGAGAAAGAAAUACCUAGGCUUCAGAGUUUCCCAAUGCUUUAAUUUUUUUUUUUAAAUAAUGCUCAUCCUUUUUUGUGUAUGUUUUUACAUAGUUGAAAUACAGUAUAUAUGCAAAUAGUAUAGGGCAGACUGUUUCACGUUUCAUAAUCAUGUUAUCUUACACAGCAUUCACAGACACCAUUUUAAUAGUAUAAUUUUUAAUUGCCAUUAUUUACCUAGCCUUUUCUCUAUACUCAAACUCAAUCACUGCAUAAAUUUGAAUUACAUCUCUGACAAGGAGCUCAGGGAUUAUCGGUGCCACAUCCUUCACAAAGAGGGCAAAACCCAGAGGCAAAACAGCUAAGUGAAUCCCAUCAGAAUCACAUAGCCAUGACACGGGCAGCAGGCUAGCAGAACUGACUGGAACUACUACUCUAGCUGACUGCUUCUCAAAAUUCUAGUCUCAAAUGUUUAUUACCGGUCCACACUGAGACAAGGUUUUGCAAAAGAAUAAGGAAAACAGUGCGCUGAUUUAUAUUCUCUGACUGAUCAGUAGUUUCAGCUCACCUAUUGGCAUCAGUCCACAGGUUAUGCAUUGAGUAGUACCGCUCUAAC